RNAcentral lists this unclassified non-coding RNA (243 nucleotides) under Cadophora sp. Its description in RNAcentral is "partial contains 5.8S ribosomal RNA, internal transcribed spacer 2, and large subunit ribosomal RNA". Lineage: Eukaryota; Fungi; Ascomycota; Leotiomycetes; Helotiales; Ploettnerulaceae. The record is from RNAcentral.
AACGCACAUUGCGCCCUUCGGUAUUCCGGGGGGCAUGCCUGUUCGAGCGUCAUUACACCCUUCAAGCGUAGCUUGGUCUUGGGCCUCGCCCCGCGGGCGUACCCGAAAAGCAUUGGCGGUCCGGGUGACUUCGAGCGUAGUAAAUUACCAUUUCGCUUUGGAAGAUCCCCUUGGUCCGGCCAGACAACCUUUUCAAUUCCAAUAAUUGACCUCGGAUCAGGUAGGGAUACCCGCUGAACUUAA